GUAGGUGGCAAGCGUUGUCCGGAAUUAUUGGGCGUAAAGCGCGCGCAGGCGGUUCUUUAAGUCUGAUGUGAAAGCCCACGGCUCAACCGUGGAGGGUCAUUGGAAACUGGAGAACUUGAGUACAGAAGAGGAAAGCGGAACUCCACGUGUAGCGGUGAAAUGCGUAGAGAUGUGGAGGAACACCAGUGGCGAAGGCGGCUUUCUGGUCUGUAACUGACGCUGAGGCGCGAAAGCGUGGGGGAGCAAACAGGAUUAGAUACCCUGGUAGUCCACGCCGUAAACGAUGAGUGCUAAGUGUUAGGGGGUUUCCGCCCCUUAGUGUUGCAGCUAACGCAUUAAGCACUCCGCCUGGGAGUACGGCCGCAAGGCUG
Molecule: ribosomal RNA, 371 nt
Filed under: uncultured organism
Description: partial 16S ribosomal RNA
Rfam family: Bacterial small subunit ribosomal RNA
Source: RNAcentral